This 432-nucleotide long non-coding RNA is filed under the name Homo sapiens (human). RNAcentral describes it as "non-protein coding lnc-ZC3H12B-13:1". Lineage: Eukaryota; Metazoa; Chordata; Mammalia; Primates; Hominidae. The record is from RNAcentral.
GAUAAAAAUCAGAGGAGGAGGAGGAGGAGGGCUUGUCUGGAAGGGGAGGCAUUUUGGCAGAUUUCUUGUUUAAGAGGAGCAGCUGGUAAGGUGAACAGGACUGAUAGAGGGAAUUGGCAAAAGCCUGGAUAUAGAGCAUCUUGGACCACUUGCCAUUGUGCUGGAGGACAUAAAGAAACAUACCUGAAAAUUAUAAGAGCCAUAUAGGACAAACCCACAGCCAAUAUUAUACUAAAUGGGCAAAAGCUGAAAUCAUACGCCUUGAAAACUGGAACAAGACAAAACUGGAACAAGAUGCUUACUCCCACCAUUCCUAUUCAACAUAGUACUGGAAGUCCUUGACAGAGCAAUCGAACAAGAGAAAGAAAUAAAAGGCAUCCAAAUAGGAAAAGAAGUUAAACUCUCUCUCUCUUUGCUGACAAUAUGAUUACA